Molecule: ribosomal RNA, 253 nt
Filed under: uncultured bacterium
Lineage: Bacteria
Description: partial 16S ribosomal RNA
Rfam family: Bacterial small subunit ribosomal RNA
Source: RNAcentral
UACGUAGGCAGCGAGCGUUGUUCGGAUUUACUGGGCGUAAAGGGUGUGUAGGCGGUUGUUUAAGUUUGGUGUGAAAUCUCCCGGCUCAACUGGGAGGGUGCGCCGAAUACUGAAUGACUAGAGUGUGGGAGAGGAAAGUGGAAUUCCUGGUGUAGCGGUGAAAUGCGUAGAUAUCAGGAGGAACACCGGUGGUGUAGACGGCUUUCUGGACCAUAACUGACGCUGAGACACGAAAGCGUGGGUAGCAAACAGG